Molecule: ribosomal RNA, 253 nt
Filed under: uncultured bacterium
Lineage: Bacteria
Description: partial 16S ribosomal RNA
Rfam family: Bacterial small subunit ribosomal RNA
Source: RNAcentral
UACAGAGGUCCCGAGCGUUGUUCGGAUUCAUUGGGCGUAAAGGGUGCGUAGGCGGCGGGGCAAGUCUGAUGUGAAAUCCCGGGGCUCAACCCCGGAACUGCAUUGGAUACUGCCUUGCUUGAGUACUGGAGAGGGAACUGGAAUUUACGGUGUAGCAGUGAAAUGCGUAGAGAUCGUAAGGAAGGCCAGUGGCGAAGGCGAGUUCCUGGACAGUAACUGACGCUGAGGCACGAAGGCCAGGGGAGCAAACGGG